AGUGUAACAUCCGUCUCCUCUUCUCUCGAGAACGAUGUAUUACUUCCGGUAAAAUUCCAAAUUAAACUGAGUUAUUCAAAACUGAAUAAAAUACCAAAACAUUUGAUAAAGUAACUCCGAAAUAAAUACAUCUUUAAAUUGAAUUAUAAAAAUAGGUCAAAUAAAUCGAAUGUAAAACCGGAAUAAAAUAUGUGAUCUCCAAGACACCAAACCGUCCAGAUAUCUAACUACUCAUCAAACUCACCUGCAAGGGAAGAAAGAGGGGUGAGCAACAAGGGAGUUAUUCCGUGAGGUAUGAGAUGCUAAACACGCAAAUCACAGACUUGAGUAAAUAGAACUCCCACUAUAGAAAUUUAUCUCUAACAUGAACACACACGACGCCUAUCGCGUCAUACAAACACAAACAAUACGAUGAUAGCAUAUAGCUAGUCCAUACACCUCACAUCUCCUCCUACGGAUAUAUAAAUAUGUAGCAUCGGUAGUACAGUCUUUCUCUGUACCCCCGCCCUCUCAAGUAGCGUCGAUGGUACAAACGUCUCUGCAAGCGUCGUUAGCCAAAACGUCUCUGAACCCCCGCCCGCACAAUCAAAAUAGCGUCGCUAGUCCAAACAUCUCUAAGCUCCUGCCCGCGCACAUAGUUCCUACUCAUAACUAUCUAUACUCAUAUGUAUAUAUAUCAUCAUUUAACAUCAUACCAUCCAAUCAACGGUUGAAUCCUCUAUACCCCUAGUUCCAGUUUACAAUGAAUGAACUAAUUACCAUUCAGGACUCAACAUACUCAAUUCAAACAGAUGAAUCAUGAUUCGAAAUCUAAAAUAACAUAGAGAAAAUUCUACACUGGUACGGGAUUUACGGAAUACACCAUCACCUUAGCCAAUAAGAAGAAUCAGAAACAGAUUGGAAAACAAACGUGUUGACUUGAUGACUAAGGUAAAUUAGGGUUUCGCCAUGGAUCUCAACUUCUCGCAACAACCCACCAGAUCGGAAAAUAACAGAGACAACACAAAACAAACACGAUUAAUGAAUUAAUUAAUCUAGGGUUUAAGGGAUGAUUACUUGUCG
This 1062-nucleotide long non-coding RNA is filed under the name Brassica napus (rape). RNAcentral describes it as "long non-coding RNA (BNAP_LNC006568)". The record is from RNAcentral. Lineage: Eukaryota; Viridiplantae; Streptophyta; Magnoliopsida; Brassicales; Brassicaceae.